Long non-coding RNA from Lagopus muta (rock ptarmigan), 1291 nucleotides. RefSeq lists it as uncharacterized. The transcript has 3 exons. The record is from RefSeq and is a predicted model, not a curated record. NCBI's taxonomy places the organism in Eukaryota, Metazoa, Chordata, Aves, Galliformes, Phasianidae.
UCCGGAGACCUCCUCGUCUUAUCUGAACCGAGCGCGCAGCUGCCGCGCGUUAAUAACGAUAGCCUUUAAUUUCACGCUCGUAUGGCGUCUGGCGCGCGGCUCUGCGCUGCCGGGGAUCGUCCGGUUCGGGUGAGAGCGGAAAACCUCCGCCCGGAGGCGGUGCGGCCCCAGCCCUGGAGGAGCCCUGGAGCCCCGGGCUGGUAGUGCUCCGCCCGCGGCGGGGACGGAAACCGCGUGGCCUUUACGGCCCCCUCCGACCCCACCGCUCCACGAUCGUACGGUGUUCCCGAGGACCCGUCCGAGCCACGCUGCGCCCAGCGGGGCUCUGCCGAGAGGAGCUCCGGGCGGAGGGGAAAUGGGCUCGGGGGCUCGGGGCUGUUCUGCGCCCCGCUUCGCGCUGCCCCGCAGGCGCUGUUCGGGGGCAUUCCGCCGGGACGGCGCUGACAUCACCGCGUGCGGCCCCAAAUCUCCCCCACGGCUGCGGGAGGAGGCGGAACCGCCGCGUUCCUCCGCUCGUGGUUGUGCAAAGGCGGCGCUGACGGCUGAACGCGUCUUGUUUUCUUAAUUUGCACUAUUAAUAGAAGUGGAGAAGUGAAACAUGGCUGUGACAAAGGGAGGGGAAACCCGGCACCGCAGAUUCCUGCUUUCGGGCCGACGUCACCCGGUCCUCGUGGGUCACAGCGGGGAGCUUCCCAGCUGGCAGUGAGGGCUAUAAGACACUGGUAGGGAUGGGCUGCGGCCGCACAGAUCGCAUAUGGGCACAUCGACCGACGCGAUGUGGAGAGCUCUGCUGUGCAUCCACGCUGUCCUGUCUGUGACCCCGCACAAGGCAGGAUUGAUUUCAUCUUCGUCUCAUAGCAGCCGACCCCAGGGAUUCCACACCCAGGAAGCGCCUACGAACAAUGGUCAUCUCAUUGAGGUCUGCUUCCAUGGGUAGAGCCCACAGCCCAGCUGGGAGAGCCAGAACAGCGACUUUGCUGACACUUCCUCGCUCCCCCUUUGCACCACCGCUCCUCAGCGGCUCCAGGAGACAGAAAGAGGUUGGUGAGAGUUGGCUGCAAUGUCAUCUGCAGCCCAGCUGGUGUGGGACACUCGACGGGAGGGGAAAGGAGCUCUGCUCUUCAGCUUCUCGUCGUGGUGUUUCAUGGUUGGGAGGCACCAAACUCCCGUAAAAACGCUGUCCCUGUUUGCUCUGCUUUGCACUUCUCACGGGACAGAAAGUUUGGUAUUUCUGUACACUGCUUACUGUCUGUCUUAUUCAAAGCAACAAAAAUAAACACCAUUAAGUCUG